ACUCAAAUGAAUAGACGGGGGCCCGCACAAGCGGUGGAGGAUGUGGUUUAAUUCGACGCAACGCGAAGAACCUUACCUGGGCUUGAAGUGAUAGGUAAACCUCUGGAAACAGGGGCUUCCCGCAAGGGAGACCUAUUAGAGGUGCUGCAUGGCUGUCGUCAGCUCGUGUCGUGAGAUGUUGGGUUAAGUCCCGCAACGAGCGCAACCCUUGUCGUUAGUUACCAGCGAGUAAUGUCGGGGACUCUAGCGAGACUGCCGGUGGUAAACCGGAGGAAGGUGGGGAUGACGUCAAGUCCUCAUGGCCCUUACGUCCAGGGCUACACACGUCCUACAAUGGCCAGGACAACGGGAUGCAAGACCGCGAGGUGGAGCAAAUCCCUUAAACUUGGUCUCAGUUCAGAUUGCAGUCUGCAACUCGACUGCAUGAAGUUGGAAUCGCUAGUAAUCGCGGAUCAGCACGCCGCGGUGAAUACGUUCCCGGGCCUUGUACACACCGCCCGU
This 501-nucleotide ribosomal RNA is filed under the name uncultured bacterium. Its description in RNAcentral is "partial 16S ribosomal RNA". It matches the Rfam family "Bacterial small subunit ribosomal RNA", at positions 899 to 1397 of the family's 1533-position model. The record is from RNAcentral.